UACGUAGGGUGCAAGCGUUGUCCGGAAUUAUUGGGCGUAAAGAGCUCGUAGGCGGUCUGUUGCGUCGGCUGUGAAAACCCGGGGCUCAACCCCGGGCCUGCAGCCGAUACGGGCAGACUAGAGUUCGGCAGGGGAGACUGGAAUUCCUGGUGUAGCGGUGAAAUGCGCAGAUAUCAGGAGGAACACCGGUGGCGAAGGCGGGUCUCUGGGCCGAAACUGACGCUGAGGAGCGAAAGCGUGGGGAGCGAACAGG
This 253-nucleotide ribosomal RNA is filed under the name uncultured bacterium. RNAcentral's name for it is "partial 16S ribosomal RNA". It matches the Rfam family "Bacterial small subunit ribosomal RNA", at positions 524 to 776 of the family's 1533-position model. The record is from RNAcentral.